This is a long non-coding RNA of Oncorhynchus nerka (sockeye salmon), 5798 nucleotides long. RefSeq lists it as uncharacterized. Lineage: Eukaryota; Metazoa; Chordata; Actinopteri; Salmoniformes; Salmonidae. The transcript has 2 exons. The record is from RefSeq and is a predicted model, not a curated record.
GAAUAUGAAAUGUCACUGAGGGAGAGAGGGGAAUGUAUAAUGUUUACAUUCUGUACGGAUAUAUUAUUGUUAGCCAUCAGGGAUCCUAUAGGAGGAAAAAAGACACAGUCUGGUACGAGUCAACAUGACAGCCGUGAGUUGGGGAGGAGUGAGCACUUUGGGGCAGAGGUCAGGUCGGAUGUAGUGAGGAAGAACAGAUAUCACUAAGGUUCUGUCUAGCAACAGAGAUGCAUUGGCUGUUCAAAUGUGCAGGAGGAGACUCAGCCUAGGAGAAAAGAUUAAAUAUCAGUGCUUGUGUGAAUCUGUCUUUUGUCUUAUGCAGCUUUUUCGGCCCAAUGGGUGAAUAAACUUGGUUUGAGCUUUAUUAAGCGUCCGUGAUGUUUUAAUAGGUUAAUUUAGAACCUAACAGUUGGCACUGCAAGCAGGGUUCACCACGAUUUACAGUUGAACUAGAAAUUCCCGAAUCAGUGAAACAGGAGCCGGCACCAGAAACAAAGGUAGGCACAGUUUCUACACCUGUUAUCACUAAUUCUGACAUCUUGGAGAGAUGAAAGUCGUAGGCUGAACCAAUUAUAGAACACGGACCUAGAAAGCCUGAGCUUAUUUAGCAGUCCAAUUGUAUUACGUCCGGUCGUAGCUUUAAAGAGGGUAAGUCCCUAGCAGGAUAGAAUCUGUGGAGGGUAAGAUUCAUAGCUUUAAAGAGGGUAAGUCCCGAGCACGAUAGUUCCUCUUAGAGACAAUCAAUUUACCCCGAUUAUCCCUGUAAAGCAGGGCUAGAGGAUUUUAGUAAAGCCAUGGAGGCGCUGAAAGAAGCGCACAAGCAUUCUAGCAAUUUUGUUCGAAUAUGGGAGAAAUUUUGCAAACUGGAUAAAAUUGGUCAGCAUUUCCCGGCUAAUGGAAGUUCCAAUCUAAUAGAGCAAGAUGCGUUGAGAGUGGAAUAUAACUCUGAGCACUUCACAUAUGUGCGAAGGGUUAAUAAUAUGGCCACAGUGAAAGUUACUAAAUAUGGUUUCAAUAGCCAAGGUAAGACAAAGAAAUGUAGCGAAAAAACAUCAAAGUGUAGGGAGUGUCACGACUUCCGCCGACGUCGGCUCCUCUCCUUGUUCAGGCGGCGUUCGACGAUCGACGUCACCGGCUUUCUAGCCAUCACCGCUCCAUUUUUCAUAUAUCCAUUUGUCUUGUCUUGUUUCCAUACGCACCUGGUUUUCAUUUCUCCAAUCAAUCUACUUGUAUUUAACCCUCUGUUUCCCAUCAUGUUUUGUGUGUAAAUGUUUCAUGUUAUGUGGUGUUAGUUUACGCGCUUUACUUUUAUGUUCCGUUUUUUGAGCACGUUUGAUUUAUGUAGUGCUCUCGUUUUUUGGAACUAUAAUAAAGUACACCUGUUCAUUAUACUCUGCUCUCCUGCACCUGACUUCGCCUCCAAUACACCAUUGACAGGGAGGUAGAUCCCUGUUUUAGAUGUGGGGCCGUGGGUCAUUGGAAGAAUGAGUGUAGAGUGGGAAUGGAGCCUGCUGCAUUCGGAGGAAAUGCUGCCAUGCAAGGCGUUUGCAUCUUUUUCAAAGGAACCGCAACAAAUCCCCUUGAAAGCAGCGGGACAGGAAAAUAGCUGAGCAUUGCCUCUGUUAGAAUAGUGGGUCAAAGAGAUUGUUUUUUAUGUGAGGGGAGAUGUAGGAGACCACGUCUUACACAACUUUUUAAUAGAUGCCAGGGAUCAAAUAUUGCGGAUUCCUUUAUGAUGAGAAAUUGGCUAACUUUGCCACAGGAAAAAAGUAUUUUGGGAUGAAGAAUCUAGACGAAAUGCCAGGGGAAUGGAUUCUAAAGAGGUAACAAAUUAAAAUGAUCUGGCCAAACACUCCUUACAAACUCCGAAAACCUUGGGAGUGUUUUUAAUCUCAUGAGACGUUUUCUGUCGUCUUAUUAUGAAAUAGAUUUACAUUUUAUGUCGUCUUAUCCUGAAAUAGAUUUAUAGAAUGGACAAAAGGGAGGAACGGUCACGAGAAAUUAGCAUUGGGGUUACCAAACCUAAAAUGAACUUUUUUUUUGUACAUGAAUGGUGGCAUUGUGGUGCAUAUUGAAUGCUAACGAAAUGUACACUUUCUUUUCCAGAAGAAGGGGUUUCAUUAUCUCCCUUUGGAAUGUUUCCUGAGGAUAUGGUCUGGGGAGAGCAGUUAGUGAAAUUCUGCAGUUUUAUAAGUAUAAAGGUAUCUGGAUUAGGCCAUAAACAGAGUUCCCUGAUAAUUAAGGCCUGGUCAUGUGUGUGUCUUUGACCUAUGGUUUAUCACACCCACACCAGCAUGCACACACAACUCACCAGGUAUGAGUAUUUGUUAUUGAUGUUCAUCCCAUGGGAUAUAUUGUGUGGGGUUUUUUCAAUCUGGGUUUUAAACUUAGUAUGUAGAAUGAUGGAAAUGUUUGAAAUGUCUGGGUUGGCGCCCCCCCCUUGGGUUGUGCCGUGGCGGAGAACUUUGUGGGCUAUACUCGGCCUUGUCUCAGGAUGGUAAGUUGGUGGUUGAAGAUAUCCCUCUAGUGGUGUGGGGGCUGUGCUUUGGCAAAGUGGGUGGGGUUAUAUCCUUCCUGUUUGGCCCUGUCCGGGGGUGUCCUUGGAUGGAGCCACAGUGUCUCUUGACCCCUCCUGUCUCAGCCUCCAGUAUUUAUGCUGCAGUAGUUUAUGUGUCGGGGGGCUAGGGUCAGUUUGUUAUAUCUGGAGUACUUCUCAUGGUCUAUCACGUUCUGACCUUUAUUUCCUUUGUUUUGUCUUUAUUUAGUAUGGUCAUGGCGUGAGUUGGGGUGGGCAGUCUAUGUGUGUUUUUCUAUGUUUUUCCAUUUCUAUGUUUGGCCUGAUAUGGUUCUCAAUCAGAGGCAGCUGUUUAUCGUUGUCCCUGCUUGAGAACCAUAUUUAGGUAGCCUGGGUUUCACUGUUGGUUUGCGGGUGUUUGUUUCCAUGUCUGUGUUUUUCACGGUACUGUUUCGGUUUUGUUAUGUCACAUAUUUGUUUAUUGUUUUUUUGUAUUUCAUAGUGUUCUGUGCUUUUGUUAUUAAAAACGUCAUGAACACUUACCACGCCGCAUCUUGGUCCGAUCCUUACUCCUCUUCAGACGAAGAGGAGGAAAUCUGCCGUUACAGAAACACCCACCAACAGAGGACCAAGCGGCGUGGUAACGGGCAGCAACAGCAGCGGCAGCGAUGUCAGGAUUUCUGGACAUGGGAGCGUGAUCUGGACUGUGUCACUACUUGGGAGGAGAUAGACAGGUGGGCGGUCGACCCAGGGAGAGUGCCGGAGCCCGCCUGGGAUUUUCUGGAGCAGUGUGAGGAGGGAUACCGGUGAAUGGAGGCAGUACGGCGGCGAGGUACUGCAGAAAAGUAUUCUGAAGGCAUAGAGUCAGGGACCAGAAAGAGAAAGUUGAAAUGGAAGAAGUCAACAGCUCCAGCAGACACGUUAUUAUCACUGUUCUACGAGAAAGGGAAAUAAGAGUGUAUGGUGUGACUAUAGAACAGAGGCCACAAGUCUCUGAGUUUGUAAAUCUCACUGUGAAUGUUAAUCAUGUUUUAUUUUUGUUCAUGUUUUGUUAUUGUUUGUUCAUUUAGAAGUAAUUUCCAAGUUUAUGUAAGUUGAACAGUAGGAAGCUUUGUUCAAGAGGAGGGACUGUUGGGUUCUGAGAAUAUGAAAUAUACUUGUCAAAGUUUAUUUGUCACGUGUGCUGAAUGCAACAGGUGUAGUAGAUCUUACAGUGAAAUGCUUACUUACAGGCUCUAACCAACAGUGCAAUUUUUAAGUAAAAAAAAAGUAUUAGGUAAACAAUAAGAUAGGUAAAGAAAUAAAAACAACAGUAAAAAAGACAGUGAAAAAGAACAGCUACUGUGGUUAGUCGGGCUGAUUGAGGUAGUAUGUACAUGUAGGUAUGGUUGAAGUGACUGUGCAUAUAUAUGAUAAACCGAGAGUAGCAGUAGCAUAAAAGAGGUGUUGGGGGGGGGCACACAAUGCAAAUAGUCUGGGUAGCCAUUUGAUUACCUGUUCAGGAGUCUUCUGGCUUGGGGGUAAAAACUGUUGAGUAGCCUUUUGGUCCUAGACUUGGCGCUCCAGUACCGCUUGCCAUGUGGUAGUAGAGAGAACAGUCUACAACUAGGGUGGCUGGGGUCUUUGACAAUUUGUAGGGCCUUCCCCUGACACCGCCUGGUAUAGAGGUCCUGGUUGGCAGGCAGCUUAGCUCCAUUUAUUUACUGGGCUGUACGCACUACCCUUUACCCGCACUACCCUCUUAUUCAUGUCACUGAGGGAGAGAGGGGAAUGUAUAACUUUCUUUAUACAUUUAGUUUGAGCUGUAUUAAGCAUCCAUGAGUUUUAAUAGGUUCAUUUAGAACCUAAAAAGUAAUCUUGGUUCUACACAGAAAAACAGGAUACUUUCUCCCAUUCCUUUUUUUUUCAUUUUUUCCAUUCAUUCAUCAUUGAGGAGGGAGAAAUGACAGGAAGUAGCAGGCUAGUUGUUGGUCAAUGAGAGGAAGUGAUGUGAAAUAGUGGAGGGUUGAUAAUGAUAAUGAGGUCAUGUUUUUCUCCCCGUUUGGCUGUUGCCAAGCUGCACCUUUGUCAUACCCCAAUACGAUCUGUUAGCAAAAGUACCCAACCAUAUUUAUAUGAAAACAGCAUGCCACUCACUGGGUAUAGUUUCUGUUAAACCACUUCUAUAUUCUAUUCAUCAGUAACAAUGAACGGCUAUACUGUGACCUUGUGAAGUGAUUUCCUAUGAGAACCUGCAUCAUGGCUUUUAAAUCAGCUGGCAGCAGAAUCUUGCAUCUGCAUAUGCCUUUACUGGGCUGGCUAAACUCUGUCCAUGGUGCUGGAAGUCUCCAAAUGGUCUACUGUAUAAGCCAGACUUCAAACUGCAGAAGCUAACAUCACAUUCAUCCUUCCUAUGUUCAGUUAGCCUAAACUGACAAGAAGAGAUAAUGCAGUGAUUGAAGACUAUUCUAAGACAUUGCGUUCUGAGAUCAGUAAAUUACUAGCUUACCUCAAACGUUACUGAGCUGACAUUAUUUCCAACAUUUUGAUUUGAGGAGAUAUUCAUUCAUUUGAUACAACUCAUUUGAUACUGAAGCCAAAAUGGUUCACAUCACUGCAGACAGUAGGUAAGGAGGGCACACACACACAGGCUUAGAAAGUCUGUAUAGUUCUGUAACUGAUGAUAUAAGAAUUUGUCAGCAUUCCAAUAAAGCAGUAAUGUCAGAUAGACGAUCACGUCAGAUUGUCUUUUUCAAAGGGGUCUAACAUAUCGGUUAGGAAAUAAAGAGAUGGUAAAAUAAAUAUAUGACAAUAAUAUAGUCAGACUUCUCUAAAAGAAAAAGAUUCUGAAAGAAAUUGUGACAUGAAGGUUCAUUAUGGAAAAAUUAUGAACAUUUCAUGACUGCAAUGACGAGAUAGAAAACAGUGACAAACUAUUGGUAUUCAUUUUAGAUCCUCCACUAUAAUGUUAUCAAAGCUUGGAUAAGGAAGCCUUGUGAGAGAAAAAAAACCUAUUUACCUGAUUUAUUUGAUAUUAAUGGUUAACAAUUUACAUUUAGCUUAUAGUAAGACAUUUCUGUCCCUGCUAGUGUCUGUCUUUUCAUGGGCUCCACUCUAGUUCCCUGCAGCUAAUCUGGGCGUAUGGUUACCAGAGAUGGCUUGAGCUGACAAAUUAGUUGAAUACUGCAUUACAUAGACAGGAAAGUUUUUUACUAGAGAUAGUUUAGGAGUAGCACAGUCCCUCAUUGUCUCAAAAUCAUCCUUGCAUCUGGGAAACUAAGCCAGGGUGGGGUUAAGACAACAA